Molecule: ribosomal RNA, 634 nt
Filed under: Peniophora tamaricicola
Lineage: Eukaryota; Fungi; Basidiomycota; Agaricomycetes; Russulales; Peniophoraceae
Description: LSU rRNA
Rfam family: Eukaryotic large subunit ribosomal RNA
Source: RNAcentral
UUGACCUCAAAUCAGGCGGGACUACCCGCUGAACUUAAGCAUAUCAAUAAGCGGAGGAAAAGAAACUAACAAGGAUUCCCCUAGUAACUGCGAGUGAAGCGGGAUGAGCUCAAAUUUAAAAUCUGGCGUCUUCGGCGUCCGAGUUGUAAUUUAGAGAAGCGUUUUCCGCGCCGGACCGUGUACAAGUCUCCUGGAACGGAGCGUCAUAGAGGGUGAGAAUCCCGUCUUUGACACGGACCCCCGGUGCUCUGUGAUACGCUCUCGAAGAGUCGAGUUGUUUGGGAAUGCAGCUCAAAAUGGGUGGUGAACUCCAUCUAAAGCUAAAUAUUGGCGAGAGACCGAUAGCGAACAAGUACCGUGAGGGAAAGAUGAAAAGCACUUUGGAAAGAGAGUGAAACAGUACGUGAAAUUGUUGAAAGGGAAACGCUUGAAGUCAGUCGCGUCCGCCAGGAUUCAGCCUCACGGUGUACUUUCUGGUGGACGGGCCAGCAUCACUUUCAAUCAUCGGAAAAGGUCGAGGGGAAUGUGGCACCUUCGGGUGUGUUAUAGCCCCUUGUCGUAUACGGUGACUGGGAGUGAGGACCGCCUUUUGUAGGAUGCUGGCGUAAUGGCUUUAAACGACCCGUCUUGAAAC